This 433-nucleotide ribosomal RNA is filed under the name uncultured bacterium. RNAcentral describes it as "partial 16S ribosomal RNA". It matches the Rfam family "Bacterial small subunit ribosomal RNA", at positions 29 to 507 of the family's 1533-position model. The record is from RNAcentral.
AACGAACGCUGGCGGCAUGCCUAACACAUGCAAGUCGAACGAAGGCUUCGGCCUUAGUGGCGCAAGGGUGCGUAACGCGUGGGAAUCUGCCCUUUGGUUCGGAAUAACAGCUGGAAACGGCUGCUAAUACCGGAUGAUGACGAAAGUCCAAAGAUUUAUCGCCAGAGGAUGAGCCCGCGUUGGAUUAGGUAGUUGGUGGGGUAAAGGCCUACCAAGCCGACGAUCCAUAGCUGGUCUGAGAGGAUGAUCAGCCACACUGGGACUGAGACACGGCCCAGACUCCUACGGGAGGCAGCAGUGGGGAAUAUUGGACAAUGGGCGCAAGCCUGAUCCAGCAAUGCCGCGUGAGUGAUGAAGGCCCUAGGGUUGUAAAGCUCUUUUACCCGGGAAGAUAAUGACUGUACCGGGAGAAUAAGCCCCGGCUAACUCCGUG